AAUCUCCCUUUGUGAAAUAUUGGGGUGGUGAUGGUGUUGUGCAGUGAAAUGGCAGCCAAGAAAGCCAUAAUUUAUGAUUACACAAGAACCAUGAAUGGUUUUGCAGCCAAGCUCACAGCUGAUCAGAUAACUGCUCUUCUAAAGCAACCUGCAGUUUUAAAGAUACUUCCUGGUGGUUUUCAAAAAGUCCCAGCUACCGAUAUCUCAUCAACCUCAAUUCCAUGAAGCGUGUCGCGAGUUUAAUUUUGUUCACUUACUAAGUGAGUGAAUAAAAUUAUUGACUGGAUGUCCUUAUAUGUAUAGAGAAACAGCACUCUAAUCGGUUGUAGAAUAACAUAUAAUGAUCUAAAUGGUAUAAUAUUAAUUAUAGAAAUAUCCUCUUUCAAUCAGUAAUAUUAUAAA
This is a non-coding RNA of Camellia sinensis, 402 nucleotides long. NCBI's taxonomy places the organism in Eukaryota, Viridiplantae, Streptophyta, Magnoliopsida, Ericales, Theaceae. The record is from RefSeq and is a predicted model, not a curated record.